CCUACGGGUGGCUGCAGUGGGGAAUAUUGGUCAAUGGGCGCAAGCCUGACCCAGCAACGCCGCGUGAAGGCAGAAGGCCUUCUGGUUGUAAACUUCUUUUAAGAGGGAAGAGCAGAAGACGGUACCUCUUGAUCAAGCCACGGCCACCUACGUGCCAUCAGCCGCGUCAAUACGUAGGUGGCAAGCGAUGACCGGAUUUACUGGGUGUAAAGGCUGUGUAGCCGGGAAGACAAGUCAGAUGGGAAAUCCCGCGGCUCAAACGCGGAACUGCAUUUGAAACUGUUUUUCUUGAGUACCGGAGAGGUGAGCGGAAUUCGUGGUGUAGCGGUGAAAUGCAUAGAUAUAAGGAAGAACACCAGUGGCGAAGGCAGAAGACUGGACGGCAACUGACGGUGAGGCACGAAAGCGUGGGGAGCGAACAGGAUUAGAUACCCGGGUAGUC
RNAcentral lists this ribosomal RNA (442 nucleotides) under uncultured bacterium. Its description in RNAcentral is "partial 16S ribosomal RNA". It matches the Rfam family "Bacterial small subunit ribosomal RNA", at positions 338 to 795 of the family's 1533-position model. The record is from RNAcentral.